CGCCCCUCCACGCUUCUGCCUUGACCCUCACCACGCCCGCCAACCCGCCCCGCCUCCCCUUCAACGCGCCACUCCCUCCCCCACCACUCCGUGCCACGCCCGCUCUCCACGCCCUGCCCCCGUGGGAAUGUGCAAUGGGGCGGGCAGCGCGCCUUGAGGCUGGCGCCCUGGUAGGGGUGGGCUGACCAGCCUGAUGGGGGCUGAGACUGCCUGGAACCCAAACGGAAGCUCCCUGGCCUAUGUUUGAAACCGUGAAUUCACCGGCUAGAAUGGAAAUGCCAGGUACCUGGGAACCUGGAAGUUGCCUUUUCAAUGCUGCCUUUCCCGUUCUCCCCUCCAUCCCUCUGGCUGCAACGAUCCUCCCUCUGGAACCCCUGGUCAGGCUCACUUCAGAGUGCCCCUUGGACCCUGCCUGGCUGAACCAUCCACACCUUGGUCAGGCAUCUUGGAAGGACUGCCCCAGCCGUGUUAUAAAAGGAGAAAACGUCACAGUGGGCAGCCCCAUUCCUGCGUUAUCCAGACAGGAAACUCAGGUGCUCAGGUCAGUGAUGCCCCCCCAAGCUGCUUUGGGGACCACACCCACACCGCUUCUCUGACGGCCCACACAGGCUGGUUCACCGCAUCCUUGUCCCACUGUGGGCCUCUUGACCUAAUCAACACAGGCAACAGGACCAGAAGUUCCCAGCAGUACCCCCAAAAUGUUAGGGAAGUUUGUGUAGGAAGGUGUUACACAACUUCAGCAUUUCUGCUCUACAAUGCAGCUCCUUUGGAACCACUUUUAACAUCCCUUUUUAAAUAUCCCUUUGGAACCGAGUUUAAUAAUUUGUUGCUGUUGGGAGUUACAAUAAUUCUGUUAAGUCAUUUUCCCAUUUAGUUUCUCUGAUAAUUCCGAGUUCUACAUUACUACCUGCCUCUCAGAUGAGUGCUGGCAGCCCCAGUUCUGUACAGGGAGGAUGCAAAACGGCAGAAUAUCUGUGGUGCAACUUUCUGGAGCAUCAGUUUACUACAAGAUUUGGAAGAAUAAGUUAAGUAAUUUCCAAGGUGCUGGAGAUAGUCCUGAACAGCACAGCUUAGGGUCCUGUGCCAUGAAGGAGCCUACACACUAGUCCUGGGAGAUGAGACAAGCAACAAGCAAGUAAAUCCUGGAAAGAUCAAGGUCACUUCAGAUGGUGAUGAAGCAGAGUCAUGUGAUUGAGAGAGCCCACAGGUAGGAGGUACACAGGAAGAAUGAAACCGUGAGGGUGGGAGCCCAUCUGAGUGCUGUGGCUGCCAGCCUGGAAAAGUGACUGAUGGGGAGAAAGGUAUCAGAACUAUGUGUUAGAUCUGUGGGAAAGAAGUACAACACAGAGCUGCUAAAACUAUGAAAGACUUAAUGGGUAUACAAUACUGAGAACCAGUUAGAUCCAUCGACUCUGACCCUAAAUGUGGCCCUAAGGUAAACUGGUUGAAGAAAUUGGAUCCUAAAGAUUACAGGUGGAGAAUUUUUAAAGGAUGUCCAUAUUCGAGGGAAGACCAAAGAAUCCCAACUGAAAGAAUUGUGAACUGACUGACAUGAUAGCCACGGAUUGAGCACAAUUUCUUUUUAAAAGGGCUGUCUUGAAGAUUAUGACUCAAACUUUGGAGGAACUAAGGAGGAGAGGAGCCCAUUUCCUUAGUUUCCCUCAAAUGCACUCCCCCAGCAAGUCUAUGUAAUUGUGAUAGACUGGUUAUUUGUGGAAAGAAACAGAAGUUUUAUUGCAUCUGCUUCAAACUUCAUAACGGUCAUCUCUGUUCCAACUGACAUUGGCCAUGCCCGCCUGGGGGUCAGCUGUCCACACUGUCCUCGUGGCCUUCAGCGCUGCUGCACUCUCUCUGACUCCUUCUUUCCUCUCUCUCCACCACCUUGGCCCCCAUCUUGGGGUUGUCACAGGAAGCUCCAGAUCAACCGUGCCCAC
Molecule: long non-coding RNA, 1934 nt
Organism: Equus caballus (horse)
Lineage: Eukaryota; Metazoa; Chordata; Mammalia; Perissodactyla; Equidae
Source: Ensembl